CCCGCUGAACUUAAGCAUAUCAAUAAGCGGAGGAAAAGAAACUAACAAGGAUUCCCCUAGUAACUGCGAGUGAAGCGGGAAAAGCUCAAAUUUAAAAUCUGGUGGUCUUUGGCCAUCCGAGUUGUAAUUUAGAGAAGCGUCUUCCGCGCUGGACCAUGCAUAAGUCUCCUGGAAUGGAGCGUCAUAGAGGGUGAGAAUCCCGUCUUUGGCAUGGACCCCCAGGGCUUCUGUGAUGCGCUCUCAAAGAGUCGAGUUGUUUGGGAAUGCAGCUCAAAAUGGGUGGUGAACUCCAUCUAAAGCUAAAUAUUGGCGAGAGACCGAUAGCGAACAAGUACCGUGAGGGAAAGAUGAAAAGCACUUUGGAAAGAGAGUGAAACAGUACGUGAAAUUGUUGAAAGGGAAACGCUUGAAGUCAGUCGCGUCGACCGAGACUCAGCCUCGCCUUGGCUUGGUGUACUUCUCGGCUGACGGGUCAGCAUCAAUUUCGAUCCUUGGAUAAUGGCAAGGGAAAGGUAGCACCUUUACAGGUGUGUUAUAGUCCUUUGUCGGAUGCAAGGGUUGGGAUUGAGGAACUCAGCACGCACCUCAUCGGUGUCGGGGCCUUUUGGCCUACGUUACGUGCUUAGGAUGCUGGCAUAAUGGCUUUAAACGACCCGUCUUGAAACACGG
This 669-nucleotide ribosomal RNA is filed under the name uncultured fungus. Its description in RNAcentral is "eukaryotic LSU rRNA". It matches the Rfam family "Eukaryotic large subunit ribosomal RNA", at positions 24 to 664 of the family's 3401-position model. The record is from RNAcentral. Lineage: Eukaryota; Fungi.